Molecule: long non-coding RNA, 1039 nt
Filed under: Homo sapiens (human)
Lineage: Eukaryota; Metazoa; Chordata; Mammalia; Primates; Hominidae
Description: non-protein coding LINC01032:4
Source: RNAcentral
CUCAAGUUGUCUAUCUAGCAAUUUUUCUCUAAAUCAAGUUCUUUUCAUCAUCUCUAGCUCCACUAACGGGCAAAAUUUUUCCUCCUUGCUAGUCCGAAACCCCUGAGAGGUAGCAUCUCUGUUCUCAUGAGUACCAAAAAUGGGAAAAUGUGGGACAAUUCUCAUUUCUCUUUACUGCUCUGCCCCUUUGUUUAUCGUAUUAAUUACACAGAAGACUGCACAGAUAUAUUAGAUUUUACUGAUUGGUUGGAGGUGGCUGAUGAAAAUUAUAAUGUAGGGUGAGAAAAAAAAGCUAUUUCUUUUUCUUUUGAGACAGGGUCUCUUGCCCAGGCUGGAGUGCAGUGGCAGUAUCUUGGCUUGCAGGAGCCUCAAACUCCCGGGCCCAAGAGAUCCUCCCACCUCAGCCUCCCAAAUAGCUGGAACUAUAGGUGCACCACACCUGGCUAAUUUUUGUAUUUUUUGUAGAAACAAGGUUUCGCUAUGUUGCCCAGGCUGGUCUCGAACUCCUGAGCUCAAAUGAUACACCCACUUCGGCCUCCCAAAGUGCCAAGAUUACAGGCGUGAGCCACCGUGCCUGGCCGAAAGAGCCAUUUCUGUGUAAUUUUUCUGCAUAGUUUAAAAUAAAACCAUGUAAGAAACUGACUGUCAUAGGCAGUUAUAGUUCUCCCCAGUCCUUGUUCCUUUAAGUUUAGAUCUCUUUGUAAGAAUAUAAACUUCUAACUCUGCCCAUAGCUCCCCAUGUACUUUUCAGGUAAUUCUAUCUUUAGUCAUGAAAGUUGAUGUUCCCUUAGGAUUCACGCUUCUUUUCUCAGCAGUAUCUUUAGCCAAAUCUGAAUUAAUCUGUUCAGAAUGAACAAGCAGAAUAGUCUUUGGAUUUGAUCCAAAUCCCUGAAGCACUUUGGGAAUGAGAAUGGCUAUGCCAGACAGAGAGACCCUGGCGACUUAUGAUACUGCAGAACACAACAGGCACUUCAGAUUGGUCCCAGGUAAGUUGAGGGAGAGCAGUGAUAUUGAGCAGUCAGCUAAAGAAACAAAGCUG